GAAAACGGGAACUAUCUGGAGAAACGAAAUUUUUGCAGAAGGGAAGGAACGGGAUUUUUCAAAAAGGAACGGGAAAAAUAAAACGUAUUCAUAAUGCGCGCCCACAUGUAAUAUUUAUAGAAUAAUUAGGCAGUUUAUUACUGUUAGGACGCGUCAAAACUAUGUAGUAUUAAUAAUAACUUAAAACAAAAUCUGAUAAUUUAUAUAUCA
This 210-nucleotide long non-coding RNA is filed under the name Panax ginseng (ginseng). Its description in RNAcentral is "long non-coding RNA (PGIN_LNC015446)". Lineage: Eukaryota; Viridiplantae; Streptophyta; Magnoliopsida; Apiales; Araliaceae. The record is from RNAcentral.